Molecule: ribosomal RNA, 329 nt
Filed under: uncultured bacterium
Lineage: Bacteria
Description: bacterial SSU rRNA
Rfam family: Bacterial small subunit ribosomal RNA
Source: RNAcentral
AAUACCGCAUAGGAGCUCCUGCUGCAUGGGUGGGGGUUUGAAAGUAUUUUUUGGUGGGGGAUGGGCUCGCGGCCUAUCAGCUUGAUGGUGGGGUGAUGGCCUACCAUGGCUUCGACGGGUAGCCGGCCUGAGAGGGCGACCGGCCACACUGGGACUGAGAUACGGCCCAGACUCCUACGGGAGGCAGCAGUGGGGAAUAUUGCACAAUGGGCGGAAGCCUGAUGCAGCAACGCCGCGUGCGGGAUGACGGCCUUCGGGUUGUAAACCGCUUUCACCUGUGACGAAGUUUUUUGACGGUAGCAGGAGAAGAAGCACCGGCUAACUACGUG